RNAcentral lists this long non-coding RNA (5984 nucleotides) under Homo sapiens (human). Its description in RNAcentral is "HSALNT0386222". The record is from RNAcentral. Lineage: Eukaryota; Metazoa; Chordata; Mammalia; Primates; Hominidae.
CUCUCUUCUGCUUUGCCGUGGUAAGACGUGCCUGCUUCCCCUUCGCCUUUUGCCAUGAUUGUAAGUUUCCUGAGGCCUCCUAGCCAUGCUUCCUGUUAAGCCUGCAGAACUAGUCUUGCUCUGUCACCCAGGCUGGAAUCCAGUGGCACGAUCUUGGCCCACUGCAACCUCCAUCUUCCAGGUUCAAGAGAUUCUCCUGCCUCAGCCUCCCGAGUAGCUGGGAUUACAGGCACAUGCCACCAUGCCCGGCUAAUUUUUGUAUUUUUAGUAGAGAAGGGGUUUCAUCACAUUGGCCAGGCUGAUCUCGAACUCCUGACCUCAAGUGAUGUGUCCGCCUUGGCCUCCCAAAGUAAUGGGAUUACAGGCAUGAGUCACUGCACCUGGUCUGGAAUAUCCUUAAUUCUUUAUCUUCCUUCUCUUUACCCCAAGAAUUAAAGAUUAAUUACAUCACAUUAAAAAAUAUAUCAUCUGACUCUCACAUUAUACAUGGAUUGAACAUAAUUAACCAAACUAAGGGCAACUUUAUCAUGUGGUGGUUAUACAAAUGAUAGAAAAACAAAUUUGAGGGAUAUACUGUUUAAAAAGGAAGAUAGACACUUCCAUUAUCAUUAUCAUCAACAAAGUCAAGUUGAGUUUAUUGUUCAUGUGGAAUGCUGUUGGAAGUUGCUGGUUUUUCUUGGCUGCUGGCAUAAGGAAAGUGUUAUACCUCUGACCAGGUAUCUUAUUGGGAUGUGACGUCUUGGGAGUGGGGCCAGGCCCUUCUGAGUUGGUCCCCACUUCCCAAUGACACCCUGAGGCUGUCUUGAGUGUCAUAUCCCAGGGCCAAGACUUUCUCCUAUGACAAAUAGACAAAUAGACAUGCUGGUAGACACACCAGCUCACACUAUUGUGGUGCUUCACUCCCAGAAGGCCUGGUGUCCCUGCAAUGUAACAAGCCUCUCUAAUAGCCCAACAAAUGGGGAGUUACUGGCUUCAGUCAAAAUAACUAAACACCAUUUCUUGACUGUCUGCUAUAUGCAUUGCACACUUUACGUGCAUUCUUGUUUAAUACUUGCAGCAAAACUGUAAGGUAGGUGUUAUCCUCACUUUACAGAUGAGGACAUUGAAUGUGGCAAAGACAGUUCUAUGUGUUGUGCAAGUCCCACUGUGCUUUUCUUUGGUGCACAAGAAGACUGCACUCCUCAAUACCCUUGCAGUUAGCUUGGGACCAUGUGACUAGCUCUAGCCAGUGGUAAAUGAAAUGGCCACACAUCAUUUCCAGAUGCAGCAUGAAAGUGUGGUUAUGUGUACUCCACAUUCUCUCUUUUCCAUCAUGUUUUGAGCUGGCAUUGUCACUAAAGAGAGGCAGGAUGCAUUGCUGAGUCAUCACAUCGGGGGCAGCCACCUUGGUGAAUCACCCAAUUCACAGAGGACUUCAUGUGAGUAAAAGAAACCUGUGUUUUAUACAACCACUAAUAUUUUGAGGCUUAUUUGUUACUGAAGCAUAGCGCAGCCUUUCCUGACUAACACAUUGAGCCCCAGAGGGAACAAGUGAACUCGUCAUGAUUCCAUAUAUGCUGGUCUAGAACUCCCACUCAGAUCUAUGACUACAAAGCCCCUUUUAUCCUUUCCGCUCUUAUUUCUUUGAUUAGGACAUACAGGAGGGCUAAAGUCCACAAUGCAACAUUUAAUAUUCCUUGAGUAUGGGACAUUACACUGCAAUUUUCUUUGCCUUCUUACUCCUUACCUGCCUGCAAGUGAUGGUCAGAGGAAGCACGUUGGUGGCUGGAUUACUGGAUGUCCAAAUGACAUUUAUCACCCCCGCAAACACACUUUUUUCUUUUUUGUUGUUUUGUUUGAGAUGGAGUCUCACUCUGUUGCCCAGGCUGGAGUGCAGUGGCGCAAUUUCGGUUCACUGCAACCUCUGUUUUCUGGGUUCAAGUAAGUCUCCUGCUUCAGCCUCCCAACUAGCUGGGAUUACAGGUACACACCACCACACCUGGCUAAUUUUUGUAUUUUUAGUAGAGACGGGGUUUCACCAUGUUAUGUUGGCCAGGCUGGUCUUGAACUCCUGACCUCAAGUGAUCCACCCACCUUGGCCUCCCAAAGUGUUGGGAUUACAGGUGUGAGCCACUGUGCACCCGGCUCCCCACCCCUGCCUACUUUUUUAACCAAAGUAGUUAUGUGUAAGUAGAGUGCUACCCUUCUUGGAGGAUAGUGACCAGAUGACCCACUCUUCUUUUGCCAAGGAGUAGAUGGUUUAAUGUGAGCCACCCAUCCACACUCAAGGGCUAGAUCCAUAUGACCAGGGAAUUCACUAGAUGGUUGAGUGGAAUAAAGAAAAGAGAACCCCAGAUUAGAGAAAUCACAUGUAAUGUCCACAUGGGCCCUAGAGCUUCUGCAUGACUCCAAAAGAAGGUAUCAUACUGGUGAUAUGGUAGGACCAGAGAGAGGGCCAAGAAGGGUAUCAUUCUAGUUACACAUAACUACUUUGGUUAAAAAAGUAGGCAGGGGUCGGGGGCCGGGCACAUGGUGGCUCACGUUUGUAAUCUUAGCACUUUGGGAGCCCAGCGUGGGUGGAUCACUUGAGGUCAGGAGUUCAAGACCAGCCUGGCCAACAUAACAUGGUGAAACCCUGUCUCUACUAAAAAUACAAAAUGGGUUAUACCAAGUUUGUAUGUGGUUAUUCACAAAGAUUUGAUUAUUUACAUUGAGCAUUCAUUCGUUGGUCAUUUUUAAUGUUUCCAAUGUUGAGAAAAUAAAGAUCUAUGAAAUAAAUGCCUUUCCCUGAAGGAGCUAACCAUCUUGAUGGCAAACCAAACAAGUGAACAAUUAUAACUCACCACAAAAGAUACUACACUUUAUAGACACAAGCAUGGCAGGCUUUGGGAUUGUGGAAGCAGGCCUCCAGGCUCAGCUGGGUAGGAUAUGGGAGAGUCAGGAAGGACUUUCACAGGAGUAGCCCCCGGGCAGACUGUGAAAACCCAAGUAGUCCCAGCAAUAGAGCUGCGUAUGAAAUCAUAAAAUUGGUGUUGUUCUACCUUCAAGAUUCUCUAGGGUAGAUCAUCCUUAUUAGCUCGAGCCCUUGACCUCACACAAUCCAUGGAUAUCUCAGGGGUUCUGCAAAACUCCCAAUAUUGAAUCUGAAAUUUUGUGUGCGGAAAGUUUUUCUGGUCAUACUUUAAACAGAUUCUCAGAGGUUUCUUUGACCUCCAAAAAUGUUAUCAUCAUAGCCCCAGAGGACACAGCAGUUCUUUGGGAAGCCUAGCUACUGUGUGGUUGAGAAAUCUGCUUGCCUGCAGAGAUAUAAUUGUGAAAAUGAACUCAUGGAGAAUAAUUUCACUCCAAGGACUUUUCCCCAAUAUUUUUGUGCCUGGAACUUAAUAAGGCAAAAUGGUUUAUAAACUCAAUGCCAAGGCAUUGCUUGCCUACAUUAUAUACACAUACACUCAGAACUUUUCUAGAAAAUUCAAACCAUAGAGAUAAACAUAUAAUUAACAUUAGAAGGCUUUCUUCCACUCAUCACCUUUGCCACUAACUGCUCUCUUUCCCCAAAGGCAAGCACUGUUAGUUGGUCCUUGUAUUUCCAGGGGAAAAAUAUGAAUUGCUACCAAUAUAUAUGUAUUUUUAUUUAAUCUGAAGGGAUCAAGUUGUACAUACCACUCUGAGCCUUGCUUUUUUUCUCUGUAUAUAUGAAUAAUUGGUACAUCUCAGAGAUAAUUCUGUAGCAAGCUCAUGCCAGUCUAUCUGAUUCUCUGUGUGGCUCAGGGAGUCUUUCCUUGUUGGGUGGUACUGCCAUGGGGCAGGGUGGGGGAGGUGCUCAGCUCCUGGCAUGAUGCUCCUUGAGGUUGCUUAUCCAUCUUGUUUAAUGUACUUUUGCAAGUAUUUUCCUAGACUAAAUUCCUAGCAUGGAAUUGCUGGGUUAAAGGGUACGUGCAUUCACAAUGUUGAUCAAUAUUACCAAAUUGCCCCUUAACAUAGUUGAACUAAUACAUAUUCUUACCCACAGUAGAUGAGAGUGCCUAUUUCUGCACACGACUUGUAUUAUCAAAUAUUCUAAUUUCUGCCAACAUAAUAGGGAGCAAAGUUUGUCAUCUUGAUACACUAGAUCUUUGAUGAUAUCAAUAAGGAAACAUCCACACCCUUUGGUUAAAAGACUCUGAGACUUCAAGGACUGCUGGCUGUUCAGAAGAGGCUGUGGUGGUUCAAGUGAGGCUCAAGGCUGUAGUUAUACCAAUCUGUUACUCCAUGAAGAGUCCAAGGCUGCUGAACAGAGUGAACCUCAGAACAGAUAGCAGUGGCACCUAGAAGAUAUAAUCUCAACAGCAGAUGAGUUAUUGAGGGAUGAUUGCUGAUUAUGGAUUCCUCUUCAUCUCUCUUAACUUAUAUUCCAAGCUGUUAACCUAGAAUAAAUCCUACUAUAUCUAAUUAAUGCAUUAAUCAAACUUUGUUUUGAAUGGAAGGGGGGAGAAUAUGUUGAUUACCCCGGCUAGUGGGAUACAAAAUAUACCUAAAGCAGAAUAUCUUUCUCCAUCAUGAAUAACAUUAAUCUCUGCAGUUCUUACAAGUGAAUAAUUAUUAUAUAGUUUGUUUCCUAUUUGUCUGGCUUGGUAUUUAUCCUUUAUGAGUUUCCAGGUGACAAUUUGUUUCAGGAAGAAUUCUCCAGAAACAAUUUUUUAAGAUUAUCGUCAAAUUCCUUAAUAAAGAGUUGAAAGCCAAACUCACUAGGUGAAAUGCAACAACAACCAAUGGGCAACAGACUGAUCUCCAACUUCCUGAAUUCUUUUUUUUUUUUUUUUUUUGAGACAGGGUCUCUCUCUGUCGAUCAGGCUGGAGUGCAGUGGCUCAAUCUUGGCUCACUGCAGCCUCCACCUCCCAGGCCCAAGCAAUCCCGAGUAGUAGGGACUCAGGCACGCACCACGACACCUGGCUAAUUUUUUGUAUUUUUGGUAGAGAGAGGGUUUCACCAUGUUGCCCAGGCUGGUCUUGAGCUCCUGAGCUCAAAGUAUUUGCUUGCCUCAGCCUCCCAAAGUGCUGGGGUUACAGGCGUGAGCCACCGUGCCAGGCCUUUAAUUCUUAAUUGCCGCCAGGAUUGAUUGGUAAGGCUGUAGAAGAGUUGCUGUCCAUUCCAAGUCUUCCCAUCUGAAGCAACCACCAUGCCACAGCCUUAUUCUGUCCCAUGGCUGUUUUGUGCAUCUCCAAGUGUACCAGUGUGAGGCCCUCAAACACACCCAUGCCCUCUGAUGAAAUAAUGUUGGUCGUGAUAACCACAGGGAUGUCACAGCCGCCGUUCCACACUCUAACUAAUUCUUAUUUUGUUCCAACAACAACAAUUUGAAAUGGGAAGAACCACCCCAUUUUAGACAUUUCAAAACGAGGGCUUGGAUAGAUUAUGUACCUUGUCCAAGGUCACACAACCAAAUGGCAAGGUACGGACUCAACCUAGUUCCAUCUGCCUCCAGUCCAAAACCCAGAGCUCUCAACUGCCACCCUCAUUGUCUCUACUAGAUACGGGCUUCCCUGCGGUAACUGUUGAGGCUGGAAAACACAGGCCUGAGAGAACUUUUAAAUAUGAAAUGAUAACUCUUUGCCUACUGAGAUUCUUAUUUUUAAAAACCCAGAGGAAGAUCAUAUUUAUAUAUUUAUUCAACAUUCACGUAUGAUAUUUAGAUUUACAAAAUGCUUUAUAGUGUAACAGAAUGGGCAGAAAUUUUUACUCGGGCUUAUAAUUGUCUUUUCUUUCAUAUUCAUUUAUUCCUUUGAUUUAUAUAAUGUGUUCUCUGCUUGGUCUUCUGAGAUUACGUACAAUGGUAACAAAUCGAAAAUAAUAUUAAUAAAAGAUUAUUUUGUAUCACUCACAGGGAAAACUGACUGGGGCCAUGCGCCUCUCUGUUCUUUAGAAACGUUAUGCGAGAGAACAUAAUAUUGUCCCCAGAAUACUGUCUGUAAUGCCGGCUAUGCUUAUUCGUGGUGCUUUAAAAAUAAAUUUAACUCCUGUUCUUCAU